Molecule: ribosomal RNA, 465 nt
Filed under: Vreelandella stevensii
Lineage: Bacteria; Pseudomonadati; Pseudomonadota; Gammaproteobacteria; Oceanospirillales; Halomonadaceae
Description: partial 16S ribosomal RNA
Rfam family: Bacterial small subunit ribosomal RNA
Source: RNAcentral
CCUACGGGUGGCAGCAGUGGGGAAUAUUGGACAAUGGGCGAAAGCCUGAUCCAGCCAUGCCGCGUGUGUGAAGAAGGCCUUCGGGUUGUAAAGCACUUUCAGUGGGGAAGAAAGCCUUGGGGCUAAUACCCUCGAGGAAGGACAUCACCCACAGAAGAAGCACCGGCUAACUCCGUGCCAGCAGCCGCGGUAAUACGGAGGGUGCGAGCGUUAAUCGGAAUUACUGGGCGUAAAGCGCGCGUAGGCGGUCUGAUAAGCCGGUUGUGAAAGCCCCGGGCUCAACCUGGGAACGGCAUCCGGAACUGUCGGGCUAGAGGGUAGGAGAGGAAGGUAGAAUUCCCGGUGUAGCGGUGAAAUGCGUAGAGAUCGGGAGGAAUACCAGUGGCGAAGGCGGUCUUCUGGACUGACACUGACGCUGAGGUGCGAAAGCGUGGGUAGCAAACAGGAUUAGAUACCCGGGUAGUC